Molecule: transfer RNA, 67 nt
Filed under: Melasis buprestoides
Lineage: Eukaryota; Metazoa; Arthropoda; Insecta; Coleoptera; Eucnemidae
Description: tRNA-Ser
Source: RNAcentral
GAAAUAUAUAAAUUAAGAAAAAACUUCUAAUUUUUAUCUUUAGCAGUGAAAUUCUGUUAAUAUUUCU